This 497-nucleotide ribosomal RNA is filed under the name uncultured bacterium. RNAcentral's name for it is "partial 16S ribosomal RNA". It matches the Rfam family "Bacterial small subunit ribosomal RNA", at positions 28 to 507 of the family's 1533-position model. The record is from RNAcentral.
GAUGAACGCUGGCGGCGUGCCUAAUACAUGCAAGUCGAGCGAACAGACGAGGAGCUUGCUCCUCUGACGUUAGCGGCGGACGGGUGAGUAACACGUGGAUAACCUCCCUAUAUGACUGGGAUAACUACGGGAAACCGGAGCUAAUACCGGAUAAUAUAUUGAACCGCAUGGUUCAAUAGUGAAAGACGGCUUUGCUGUCACUUAUAGCUGGAUCCGCGCCGCAUUAGCUAGUUGGUAAGGUAACGGCCUACCAAGGCAACGAUGCGUAGCCGACCUGAGAGGGUGAUCGGCCACACUGGAACUGAGACACGGUCCAGACUCCUACGGGAGGCAGCAGUAGGGAAUCUUCCGCAAUGGGCGAAAGCCUGACGGAGCAACGCCGCGUGAGUGAUGAAGGUCUUCGGAUCGUAAAACUCUGUUAUUAGGGAAGAACAAAUGUGUAAGUAACUAUGCACGUCUUGACGGUACCUAAUCAGAAAGCCACGGCUAACUACGUG